UGGGACUUAGAAGAAAGAACCUCAUGGUUUG
Molecule: non-coding RNA, 31 nt
Filed under: Mus musculus (house mouse)
Lineage: Eukaryota; Metazoa; Chordata; Mammalia; Rodentia; Muridae
Source: RNAcentral